GACGAACGCUGGCGGCGUGCUUAACACAUGCAAGUCGAACGGAAAGGCCCUGCUUUUGUGGGGUGCUCGAGUGGCGAACGGGUGAGUAACACGUGAGUAACCUGCCCUUGACUUUGGGAUAACUUCAGGAAACUGGGGCUAAUACCGGAUAGGAGCGCCUGCUGCAUGGUGGGGGUUGGAAAGUUUCGGCGGUUGGGGAUGGACUCGCGGCUUAUCAGCUUGUUGGUGGGGUAGUGGCUUACCAAGGCUUUGACGGGUAGCCGGCCUGAGAGGGUGACCGGCCACAUUGGGACUGAGAUACGGCCCAGACUCCUACGGGAGGCAGCAGUGGGGAAUAUUGCACAAUGGGCGGAAGCCUGAUGCAGCAACGCCGCGUGCGGGAUGACGGCCUUCGGGUUGUAAACCGCUUUCGCCUGUGACGAAGCGUGAGUGACGGUAAUGGGUAAAGAAGCACCGGCUAACUACGUG
Molecule: ribosomal RNA, 468 nt
Filed under: uncultured bacterium
Lineage: Bacteria
Description: partial 16S ribosomal RNA
Rfam family: Bacterial small subunit ribosomal RNA
Source: RNAcentral